CCGGCUGCUCUCCUCUACAUUCGGUGGCCUUGGGAACACCAAAGAUGUGGCCUUGGCAACACUUGCACAUCGAGGUCAAGAGGCCAGGAAGAGCAUCCUGCCUUCUAAAUCCUUUGAAGUUUACUCAAAAUUCUCAUCCUGAACUGGACUUUUGGACUCAACAACAAAAGGGAUGACGCUGUGUUUCAGAGGAAUUCAUAAGCAGAAUUGAAUUUGUUUUAGUUAACUCCUUAUUUGAUUGGAAUAUUGUCGACUUAACAAAAUAGUAGAAAGAGCAUUGGGCUGAAGUGAGAAGAUUUGAGUUCUAGUCCAAAAUCUGUUACUAACCAGCUCUUUGACCCUGAGAAGUCAUUUGACUUGAAUUAUAGUCUUUUUCUUAUAUGGGAAAGGUGGAGUAUACUCAGAGUCUCUCCUAAGUGCUAAGAUUCUGUGAUUCUAUGAAAUCAGACCAUCAGAGAGGAAUACUGCAGUGUUCUCCUGCAUGGGUUGUAAAUGAGAAAAAAGAAAGAAGGAGAGCAAAAUGACUUAAAGACAUUUUCAAGAAAAAAAGAGGAGAGAAGUCACUGAAAUGGAAAAAUAAACAUAUUAUAUAACUAUUUAUUGCGCUAUGCAAUAAAAACAUCUUCAGCAACAGCCACACAAGUGCGGGUGGAGGGUCUGCUUUGAAGAGAGAAAAAAGGCUGCUGCAGAAAAAACAAACCUCAAUUCAUAAUUGGAGCUUUUGUUCUUUCUGGAUUGUUUUGUGAAGAAUAUGCUGCCAAAAAACAUUUUUCUUCUGUAACCGCUUCUUUUGAAACUCCAUUCUUUUUUAUUUCAAGGAUGUUUAUUAUCUACUCAUUUCUUUUUAUUUAUUUUUGAAUCAUACACCCCAAUGUCUAGAUGACUGGGACCACUAGGUUUCAUAUUUCCCAGAUGAGAUUAGUUGUACAGUUCAUUUUGCAGGUUUAUUCAGAGCAUUUCAAUGGCAUUUCACCUACGGUUCACUUAUAUUUAGUCCUAAGAAAUUGAAGGUGUUUCUUGAUAGUUUUCCUGCUCCAUCUUCUUCCAGGGGAUUGAUUUGGCUUCUUAUGUUUUUGUAUUUGGUUGCUCAUUAGAGAUAAGCCUGAUUAUUUGCCAUUGUGUAUUUUCUCUGUUUUAAAAAGGGAAAAUACAACAUGUUAUUAAUUAUUAUGAUAUAACAAAAAAUGGAGAGAAGGAAAAAGAUUUUCAUCCUGACACUUUGAGUCAUUUUAAGAAUUUUCAGCUUGCUUUGUCAUUUGUUUCUUUAAACUCAAGAGAUUUGGUUUCUGAAUUUGAAUAAUCUUCAAUACACUGCAUGCUGAUUCACAGGUCUCCAGUAAAACAACUUGAAAAACUAAAAAAAGGAUCGAGUGGCAUCAUCUGUGAAUAUAAUGUCCCAAUCAUCUACAAAUUGCCUUUUAAAAAGAAAAGCCAUUUCAAAUGUAUAUGAGCAUCAUGUAACAAAAAUAUUAAUAUUUUAGCUCUGUGCUCAUUUCAACUUAUAGAAAACACCUCAUUCCCCCCCCCCCCAAAUUAUUACUUAGUUCUAAAGCUAGAUAUAUAAAAUUUUAGGAUGAAACCAGAUUGAACAAAUUCUGCAUCCUUGAAAAUACAUGAACACUGCAAAUAAUGAUACAAAUUCUCAGCAUUACAAUUUGUUUCUAGCUACUUAAUAAUGACCUGGAUUGAAAAUUAAAAUAGUAGUAUAGAUAAUCAAAAUAGGGACAAUGUAGUGCUUUUUCUCUAAUCAGUUUAACUGAAUAAUGCAUAGAUUCAGUAUCCAGAAGGAAUAUCAUCAACAAAAUUGCAAAGUUACCAGGCUUCAGGGCACAAUAGGACUUAAUUGUUUCUGGAUAUGAAGCUCCUGAUAGCAUCAUAAGAAUUUUAACUAGCAUUUUUGCUUAUUGCAGUGGAAAUUUAACUGUGCUGUAUAGGUAUACAUCACUAAAAAUAAGACGAAAAAAAGACGAGAUGGCAUAUACAGAAUCAAUAGCCCUCAGACGUUUGAAUGCAGGAUGCAGCUGCUUUCUUGCAGAAGAAUAUGUGGUGGUAUGAUUUAUGGUCCCCCAUUCCUAACAGUUUAUUCUAUUAGCCUGUUAUUGAUAGUCGAAAUGCAGUACAUUAAUUAAGAUGGUUUUGAACACAGGUAAUAGAAAGUCCAACUCAAAUUAUUUUAAAUGUAUUGUCCCAUAUAGAAAGUGCAGCAGUACGGUUAGCCAUUAAUGUUGGUUGAUUCACAGGUUAACUGUGUGAUCAAGACCAGGUUAACACCAUCAUUCUGUUCUGCUUUUCUGAGUCCACUUGGUUUUUGGCCUGUCUCAUCAAUGAUGUAAGAUGACUUUUUGGGGGGAUGCUGGCCUUUGGAACCCAGCCACCUGGGGAAAACCACCAGAUGGGUGUGGGAAAACCCAGGCUGCGUGGAGAGGCUACAUGUAGGUGUUCAAACCAACAGCUUCAGUAAGUUUUAGUUGAUAGCCAGCAUCAACCACCAGAGUGAAUAAGCUUUCUACUGAGUCCAACUCCCAGCCUUGGAGUCUCCCAGUUGAGGUCUCAGAUAUUGUAGAGAAGAGGCAAGGCAUCCCUCCUAUGCUCUGCUGAAUUCUUGACUCACAGACACUCUAAGAGAUGAUAAAUAAUUGCUCUUUUCAGCCCGCUGAGUUUUGGGCUGAUUUGUUAUACAGCAAUAGAUAACUAUUGCUAUUGCUAUAUGUUUCAUUGUUCACGUGCAGUGUAUAGGGGGGAGAGAGGAAGAGAGAAUGAAACUAUGAUAAACCAUUCUCCACUAUGAAAUUACAGUCUUUCUGUUCUGUCUGAUUGAGUCAACUUGGUCUUAUGCCCACUCCUAGACCAGUAGCAGUUAUCAGAGAAAGCUGUGCAUUGGUUUGUUUGGAAUAUUUGAGGUCUCUCUCUUGAAGCUGCGAAUGGAGCCAGCUUCCUUGGCAUCACAAGCUGUUUAGGGGUUAGUUACAUACUUGAACCAAAUAUAGUUAAAAAGGAGAAAAAGGAAAUGAAAGGUGAGUUAGGCAAAAAUGCCCACUACAUGCAAAUAGAAAAGGGUUUACAAAUGUUAAAGUACCCUGACGAUUUUCCUGCAUUACUAUAUGAUAAAAAUUUAAUUACAGAAAACUUUUAGUAUUGAAGCAUAAAUCAAUAUUUAUAGAGUAGCUUUUGUAUAGAGGCACUGUAGCAAUUUCAAGGAAUUGAUGAUUAGUUAAACAUGAAUCUUGCUCUCCAAGAGCUAUAUACUAGAGUUGGAAAACAAAAAAGUGAAAGCAAAAUACAAAUUAAGUUACAGGGUAGUUUAGAAAAGAGAGGACUCAUUUCAACUUAAGGUCAAUCAGGGGAGGCUUUUUGGAGAAGCUGGCCUUUGUCCUGAGAGAAUGAGUCAAAUUUGGAAUUAUGGAGAAUGAUAGAAAAGGGAUUCUAAGCAGAAGGAAGAGCACAUGCAGAAACGUGGAAACGGGAAAUGUAUAAAGUCUGAGAAUAGCACAGACAAAUUAGAAAAUACAAGUGGGGCCUUAUAUUGACUUCUUAUAGUGCUUUCAUCAUUAAAGAAACUUGUAUGGUAUUAGUGCAGGAAAGGGGAAAAAAAGAUCUAAUGAACAAAUAACCAAACAAGCUAACCAAUCAAAAAAACAAACAAACAAACAAACAAAAAAAAACCCAGAAGCACUUAUAGAAACAUUCCCACAUAUAUGUGGAAACUUGGUAUAUAAUGGAGGACAUUAAAUUUCAGAGGAGAAAAGGUCUAUUCAAUCAAGAGUGCUGAAAUAGUUAUCCAAAGCGAUGGAAAAGGAUACCCUUAGGUCUCCAUCUCAUCUCACACACAAAAACAAAUUUCAGAUGGUUUAAAGACCUAAGUGUGAAACACAAACUGUGAAACUUUAGAAGAAAUAUUGAAGCAUCUCUGGAUGAUACCAGAACAGGGAUAGAUUUUUUAAAGAUGUCACAACAAACUAAAAGAAAACACUGAUAAAUUUGACUAUUUUUAUAAACUUCCAAAUGAGAGGAGACGUCAAAAGUAAACAGAUACUGCAAAGCCAAAAUGCAAGCCUCAGAUGAGAGAAUACAUGUGCGGAGCAUAUAACUAAGAGUUGGUUUUCAGAAUGUGAAAAGAAACUUUAAAGUCAUUGUAGAAAACAUAGUCAACUCGAGUGAAAAAUAAAAAAAUCCCCAAGACGGGCAGUUCACAGAGGAAUAAACUGAAAUAGCCAAUUAACAUUUGAAGAGUGACCUCACUAGUAAACAUAAAAGCAAAUUAAAGCAAUGAGAUUUAUUUUAUACUUAUGGAAUUGGAAAAAACCCAAACAUCUGAUGACUCUAUGUAUAGGUGAAAAGUACGGCAAAGUGGAACUCUUACACAUUGUGGACAGGAGUGUAAUGAUCAAGAACUACUGAGGAGUGCAAUCUGGCAAUUGUUAGUAAAGUUCAAGAUGUACACUCCACAUCACAUCUGGAAAUUCCCCUCAUAUAUAUAGGUGUCUCUGAGCCUGGCUCAGACAUGUCCACUAGAAGAGUUGAACGAGGAUGUUCAUUGCAAUGCCAUUCAUAAUAGUAUGAUUGGCCUCCAUAUCUAUCCAUAAAGAAAUACAUACAUUAUGAUUUAGUUAUAUAAUAAAAUGCAGUAGAGCAAUUUAAAUGACUGUACUAGAUCUACAUGUGUUGAAUUGGACAAAUCUCAAAAAUAUACUAUUGAUUGAAAAUAUCAGUUGUGUGCUCACAAUAUAUUAAGUUUUAAACUUGAUACCUCAGCAAUAUUAUAUAUUGCAUAUACGUUAGGUAAGGCACCAAAACAAGCAUGGAAUUAUACACACUAACCCCAAGAUGAUGGUUACCUCUAGGACUGAAGGAAGGAGAGAGCGGAGUAUGUAUUUGUGUGUGUAUAAAAAGUCUGAAGUAAUUGUGACAAAAUAUUUAUACCCAGUAAAUCUGAACAUUGGGCACACAGAUCUGUUAUAUUUUCCAUGUAUAUUUUUCUAUGUUUGAAAUACUUUAAAGUGAAAACACAUUAAAAAGAAUAAAAAGGGAAGUAUUUAGAUAUGCCUUUCCCCUGUCCAAAUGGCUAUAGAUGUACUGAGAAAUUAUUUCAGUAUAGAACAUUUAAAACUACAAAAAAAAAGUUCAAAAUAUAUAUAGUUGAGACUGUAAGAAAUGAAUGAACUCGAACAGAGAUAGUUGGCAAAAUCUAAAACUGGCAUUUCCCCUGGGCCAUCAGCCAGACUUUUAUAACCUAGAGCUUGAGUUAUAAAAGGCUACAAGGGUCAUAGAAAGCCAAUACUGGAUCCACAAAAGGUGGAAACUUGUAUAACAGACCCUUACAUAAAGGUAGGUUUCCUCAGACAACAUCACCACAAAUGAAUGGUCCAGAUAUAAACCUGCCCAAUAGAUGCAAUGAGGAUUUAUGUCUGUCACAGAACUCUCUCAAGUUUAGAAAGAAGGGCAGGAGCCAGAUCAUUGAAGUCUGAUGUGACAACUGACUAACAAUAUAUUCAUACAGAUUUUCUGGGGGGAAAAAAGCAAAAGGAAAAAGAAAAACAGAUGGUAUGGCACUCCCCUAGAGGGAAAGACUUGGGUAGAAGUAGGCAUGAAGACACAUGAGUAGGGCAGGGUAUGAGAUUGAAAGGAGAGGAGAGAGCCAGGAAAGCAUGCCACCUCCUUUCUCAUGUUUCAUAUGGCCAUCUCUCACUUGUAAGGGCCAGGACAAGAGGCAGAAGUGAUGUUCAACCGAAAGAGAAUGAAAAUAAUGCCUUUGUUACUGAUCCCCUUCUAAUCCUGCCGUAGAUUCUUAACUUAAUCUCUGCUUUUUUCUCCACCUUCCUAAAGCCUACACAUCUUCGUAAAGUCUAGCUUAGACUCACUUUCCCCAUGAAGACUUCUCAAACAACUCUUCUUUGAAUGCUAUAGUCUGUAUUAAAACUUGAGCAUAGGUCAUCUUAUUUUACAACUUAUCAUUACUUGGUUUGUGUUUUUCUUGUUUUCCCAUUUGGAUUACAAGUUGUUUUGCAGUCAUACAUAUCUUAUGGAGUACCUAACACAGUGUUAAACAUUAACAAAUUCUUAUUAAUUGCUAGAAGGAUUAUAGUUUCAAUAAUGAGUGGCAAAUCUGAGGGGAGGAUUUACCUGUCAAAAGUGUGGCCAUUCCUACUAUGAGUUCUACCCUUGAAUCAGGCAUUAACUGCUCUUUUUGACCUCAAUUCUGUUAGUACUAUAAUGGUGAAAUAUUUGGUAAUAAUCAUCUGUCAUAAGUGUGUGUGUGUGUGCGCAUACUAAUUACUUGAAGCUUUUUUUUUUUUUCUUAAAGCUAUAUGUUGCUCACCACUAUUUGAUCUCAGGCUUAACAGUUGAGGUUUAGGGUUACAAAAAUGGGAUCUAUCUAUACCUGAUUAAGCAGAAUCAGAUAUUAAUUGAAGGAUUUAGGGUGGCUUAAAGAAUCAAUGAGGAGUUUGGAGAAUCCAAGCUGGACCUGAACCACAGAAGACAAAAACUUGAGAUAGAAUACUGUAUGUUAGAAUCUCUUUUGUUGACACCGCUGUUGCUGGACUCUCUUCAGCUUACCAUUGGAGUCUAUUGCCCAUACUUGCUCCACAGCACUGGGCUCUCAUCUCUGUGGAAUUCACUGGAAGACAGGUCAUGCACCUUUGCAUCUCAUUCUUAACACUAAAAAUCUUGGGAGUAUCUGUUUGGGUGGGCUGAAAUCGCCCCUUUAAAGGGUUGGGGAGAUAAUAUUAGUUCCCCUUUGGCAUCAGCAGUGGAAGGUGCCUGCCAUCCAUCUUGGAAUUCUCUCUGAAUAUGAAGAGUGCUUAGAUGCUGGGAAGACAAAAUGAAAUGAGGCUAUUGCACAGGAAGAAAAAGGGGAAAUUAAAAUCAAAUGCAAAAUGACACUUCUAAUCCAUAAAAUAUAUUAAGCAUAUUUAUAGUGCCAUGUUGUUUAUAAUAUCAAAUACAUUGAAGAAAAGAUAUAGUUCUGUAUGUUUAAUCAAGUUUGUAAAUUUUGUAAAGGUACUGCUGAUUUUGUCAUUUCUGAGCAGCAAUAAUUUUGGCGGUAAUUGUUACGUAGGAUCCACACAGUUCACCUUUCUAUAAAGCAGCCGCGGGAUGAGCUCUUUUAACUUGGGACAUCUGAAGGCAUCGAAAGGGUUAGCUGAGAAUGGCUUAACAUGUCUUAAAUGAGAAUAUAUUAACAUAUACACAUAUGCAUUACUCUUGAGAGAACUCAGGUAUACAGAUAUAGCACUAACUGUGGUUUACAACAGCGUCUCUGUAUAAAAAUCUCAAAUUUCUCCUUGUUAAUAAA
Long non-coding RNA from Gorilla gorilla gorilla (western lowland gorilla), 7294 nucleotides. RefSeq lists it as uncharacterized. Lineage: Eukaryota; Metazoa; Chordata; Mammalia; Primates; Hominidae. The record is from RefSeq and is a predicted model, not a curated record. The transcript has 4 exons.